RNAcentral lists this ribosomal RNA (771 nucleotides) under uncultured Vagococcus sp. Its description in RNAcentral is "bacterial SSU rRNA". It matches the Rfam family "Bacterial small subunit ribosomal RNA", at positions 28 to 776 of the family's 1533-position model. The record is from RNAcentral. Lineage: Bacteria; Bacillati; Bacillota; Bacilli; Lactobacillales; Enterococcaceae.
GACGAGCGCUGGCGGCGUGCCUAAUACAUGCAAGUCGAACGCACGAAGUUGAAGAGCUUGCUCUUUAACCAAGUGAGUGGCGGACGGGUGAGUAACACGUGGGUAACCUGCCCAUUAGAGGGGGAUAACAUUCGGAAACGGAUGCUAAUACCGCAUAGUUUCAGGAAUCGCAUGAUUCUUGAAGGAAAGGUGGCUUCGGCUACCACUAAUGGAUGGACCCGCGGCGUAUUAGCUAGUUGGUGAGGUAAUGGCUCACCAAGGCAAUGAUACGUAGCCGACCUGAGAGGGUGAUCGGCCACACUGGGACUGAGACACGGCCCAGACUCCUACGGGAGGCAGCAGUAGGGAAUCUUCCGCAAUGGACGAAAGUCUGACGGAGCAACGCCGCGUGAGCGAAGAAGGUUUUCGGAUCGUAAAACUCUGUUGUUAAAGAAGAACAAGGAUGAGAGUAACUGCUCAUCCCCUGACGGUAUUUAACCAGAAAGCCACGGCUAACUACGUGCCAGCAGCCGCGGUAAUACGUAGGUGGCAAGCGUUGUCCGGAUUUAUUGGGCGUAAAGCGAGCGCAGGCGGUUCUUUAAGUCUGAUGUGAAAGCCCCCGGCUCAACCGGGGAGGGUCAUUGGAAACUGGAGAACUUGAGUGCAGAAGAGGAGAGUGGAAUUCCACGUGUAGCGGUGAAAUGCGUAGAUAUGUGGAGGAACACCAGUGGCGAAGGCGACUCUCUGGUCUGUAACUGACGCUGAGGCUCGAAAGCGUGGGGAGCAAACAGG